RNAcentral lists this long non-coding RNA (673 nucleotides) under Setaria viridis. Its description in RNAcentral is "long non-coding RNA (SVIR_LNC007869)". The record is from RNAcentral. Lineage: Eukaryota; Viridiplantae; Streptophyta; Magnoliopsida; Poales; Poaceae.
AUUGAUUUAGCCCUAAUUCUUGUUGGACUGAGCCUAAUAAUUUAUGUCAUCAUAGAUUGAUUUAGCUCCAAUUCUUGUUGGACCGAGCCCAAUAAUUGCUGACAUAAUAACUUGGUUUAGGCUCCAAUUCUUGUUGGAUCAAGGGCAACAUAUGCUGAUGUCAUAACUUUGUUUAGGUCCAAUUCUUAAUGGAUUUAGCCAAACAUGUGCUGGCAUCACAACUUUAAUGAGGCCCGCGAAAUAAUGGGCUGAGGGGGUAAGGCCACGAAAUUUUAGGCCCAGUUAUUUUUGGGUGUAGCCCAGAUAGCGCUUAGUUAAAAUAUAAUCUAAUUUAAUAUUACAUACAAAUCAAUUUGGUAAUUGACAACACAAAUAAUCUUUCCAUACCACACAUACAAAUAAAUGUUUCCCAUCACACUUCACACAUUAUUAUUCAUAACCAAAGAACAAGCACAAGCAUAUUAUCCCUAAGAGAUCACAAACCACUACACAUGAUAUCUCUCCGACCAAGAACAAAGCUGGCCUAGAAACACAUUGAGCACAAACUACAAUACUCACAAACCAGCACAAGCAGCUGGGAGGAUAUGAGCAGAUGCCUAAGAAACACAUUGACCUUACCCUCUGAAGUUUAGCAGUUGACAAAGGAGGUACUCAGUUUCUCUUACUGCUUUCU